UACGUAGGGUGCAAGCGCUGUCCGGAAUUAUUGGGCGUAAAGAGCUCGUAGGCGGUCUGUUGCGUCGGCUGUGAAAACCCGGGGCUCAACCCCGGGCCUGCAGCCGAUACGGGCAGACUAGAGUUCGGCAGGGGAGACUGGAAUUCCUGGUGUAGCGGUGAAAUGCGCAGAUAUCAGGAGGAACACCAAUGGCGAAGGCAGAUCUCUGGGCCGUAACUGACGCUGAGGAGCGAAAGCAUGGGGAGCGAACAGG
Molecule: ribosomal RNA, 253 nt
Filed under: uncultured bacterium
Lineage: Bacteria
Description: partial 16S ribosomal RNA
Rfam family: Bacterial small subunit ribosomal RNA
Source: RNAcentral